AUCCAACUGACGAGCUCCAGAUAGGACGAAACGUGAGUCCUGGAU
This 45-nucleotide non-coding RNA is filed under the name Schistosoma mansoni. The record is from RNAcentral. Lineage: Eukaryota; Metazoa; Platyhelminthes; Trematoda; Strigeidida; Schistosomatidae.